Long non-coding RNA from Drosophila pseudoobscura, 498 nucleotides. RefSeq lists it as uncharacterized. The record is from RefSeq and is a predicted model, not a curated record. The transcript has 2 exons. Lineage: Eukaryota; Metazoa; Arthropoda; Insecta; Diptera; Drosophilidae.
GUCUGCGUGUGUACCUAGGCGCUUAUCGGUUGGCGGAUCUUCGGCAGUAGGAGCCAGUGGCAGCCUCCAGCAGCACCAGUUCCCAGCCGUAUGCCAUCAGUGGAGCGCUCAGCAUGCUACAGCAGUCGCCAGUUUCGCCGAAGGUAACCAGCUGCACGACCAAGGUGUGGCAGUGAAGAAGCAUAAGCGCCUGAUAGAUGACAUGCUCGUGCGAGAUCUGCGCCCGGACAUUCACUUUCCGGGAGAGCGAUGAUUUCUGGCCCACCACGAAAUAUACCAAAAUAUACCGUCUGCAAUCUAGUUAUCUGCAUAUAUUUUAAAACUGGUUCAAAUACCAAAUAUAUUGAACUAGUUCUUUGAUAACUGACAAAAGCUCUUUUACCCAGAAUGCGAAAUCUACCAGCUCGCAAUGUGACCGUGGAAAUAUACCGUAAGGAUACCGAAAUAUUAAUUAAAUAUACUGAGAACAGAACACAGACCGCUUACGGUAUUUUAAAA